UGAAAUGAUUUAGAGUCACACAAAUAUUUACGGCUUCUUUUAGACCAUAAAUUUCAAAAGUGUUUUUUUCUUUCUUAAAUUCAGUGCCUAGUCAAACUAUAUCACAUAAAUUUGGACGGACGGAGUACUAAAUACUAAUAACCAAAAAAAAAUAAAAAAAUAGUGGCAAUACGAUCAGUUUUUUUAUAGUUUCUUUUAUUUUUCAUUUGGAGCCAAACUUUCCCCCCAAAAAUUGAAAGUCCCAAAGACCAAAUCUAUCCCAAAAAUUUAAAACCCAACCGACAGUUCCUUCUCACAAAAUAAAAACUGGAAACCCAUAUUUUCUUUGCUCCUACAUUUUCACUGGCGGCCUACCUUCUCCUUUCUCCCUUUGCUCCUACAUUUUCUUAUCUUUUUCUGGUUGAAAUUUAUGGGUCAAUUAACUCUUUUGAUUUACUUUUUCUUUUGUAGGUUUUACAAAGUGGAGGUCUAAAAGAGACGUUACAUUGGAUCAUACUUCUGUGGAUGUGAAGCUUAGUGAUGCGGAGAGUAAGCUUACUUUACCCUGAGAUGAAAGAAGAUCAUGGGGUGCAACAGCUCUAAUCACCGAGCAAAUGUUUAGUGCUUUUUUAUGUUUUAUUGAUAUAGAACUAUUUUUGUUCUUUUUGGAUUUAAAGUUGUAACAAUUAACUUAUAAUAUACGAGUUUGUAUUACUUGAGUUUGACAUGAAUAAUUUAAAUUCAUGUUACUUCUUAUACUAUGAAUUUAGUUGGUGAAAUUUUAUUUACAUUAUGUGUUAGUUA
Lycium barbarum (goji berry) is the source of this 783-nucleotide long non-coding RNA. RefSeq lists it as uncharacterized. NCBI's taxonomy places the organism in Eukaryota, Viridiplantae, Streptophyta, Magnoliopsida, Solanales, Solanaceae. The transcript is spliced from 2 exons. The record is from RefSeq and is a predicted model, not a curated record.